Molecule: ribosomal RNA, 438 nt
Filed under: uncultured bacterium
Lineage: Bacteria
Description: bacterial SSU rRNA
Rfam family: Bacterial small subunit ribosomal RNA
Source: RNAcentral
AGACGGGUGAGUAACGCGUGGGAACCUUCCCUGUGGUACGGAAUAACUUCGGGAAACCGAAGCUAAUACCGUAUAUCUCCUCCGGGAGAAAGAUUUAUCGCCAUAGGAUGGGCCCGCGUUGGAUUAGCUAGUUGGUAGGGUAAUGGCCUACCAAGGCAACGAUCCAUAGCUGGUCUGAGAGGAUGAUCAGCCACACUGGGACUGAGACACGGCCCAGACUCCUACGGGAGGCAGCAGUGGGGAAUAUUGGACAAUGGGCGCAAGCCUGAUCCAGCCAUGCCGCGUGAGUGAAGAAGGCCUUAGGGUUGUAAAGCUCUUUUGGCGGGGACGAUAAUGACGGUACCCGCAGAAUAAGCCCCGGCUAACUUCGUGCCAGCAGCCGCGGUAAUACGAAGGGGGCUAGCGUUGUUCGGAAUCACUGGGCGUAAAGCGCACGCA